CGGAGGGGGCAAGCGUUGUUCGGAAUUACUGGGCGUAAAGGGCGCGUAGGCGGCCUGCUAAGUCGAACGUGAAAUCCCCGGGCUCAACCCGGGAACUGCGUCCGAUACUGGCAGGCUUGAAUUCGGGAGAGGGAUGCGGAAUUCCAGGUGUAGCGGUGAAAUGCGUAGAUAUCUGGAGGAACACCGGUGGCGAAGGCGGCAUCCUGGACCGAAAUUGACGCUGAGGCGCGAAAGCCAGGGGAGCAAACGGGAUUAGAUACCCCGGUAGUCCUGGCCCUAAACGAUGAAUGCUUGGUGUGGCGGGUAUCGAUCCCUGCCGUGCCGAAGCUAACGCAUUAAGCAUUCCGCCUGGGGAGUACGGUCGCAAGGCUG
Molecule: ribosomal RNA, 372 nt
Filed under: uncultured organism
Description: bacterial SSU rRNA
Rfam family: Bacterial small subunit ribosomal RNA
Source: RNAcentral